This 460-nucleotide ribosomal RNA is filed under the name uncultured bacterium. RNAcentral describes it as "partial 16S ribosomal RNA". It matches the Rfam family "Bacterial small subunit ribosomal RNA", at positions 338 to 795 of the family's 1533-position model. The record is from RNAcentral.
CCUACGGGAGGCAGCAGUGAGGAAUAUUGCUCAAUGGCCGUAAGGCUGAACCAGCCAAGUAGCGUGAGGGAAGACUGCCCUAUGGGUUUUAAACCUCUUUUAUGCGGGGAUAAAGGUGUCCACGUGUGGCUGUUUGCAGGUACCGCAUGAAUAAGGACCGGCUAAUUCCAUUCCAGCAGCCGCGGUAAUACGGAAGGUCCGGGCGGUAUCCGGAUUUAUUGGGUUUAAAGGGCGCGUAGGCGGGUCUUUAAGCGUGCCGUGAAAUCUUGUGGCUCAACCAUGAGAGUGCGGCGCGAACUGGAGACCUUGAGUGCGGGGGAGGCAGGCGGAAUUCGUGGUGUAGCGGUGAAAUGCGUAGAUAUCACGAAGAACACCGAUGGCGAAGGCAGCCUGCUGGAGCGUUACUGACGCUGAAGCUCGAAAGCGUGGGGAUCGAACAGGAUUAGAGACCCUUGUAGUC